Molecule: long non-coding RNA, 3684 nt
Organism: Homo sapiens (human)
Lineage: Eukaryota; Metazoa; Chordata; Mammalia; Primates; Hominidae
Product: long intergenic non-protein coding RNA 2714
Source: Ensembl
AGAACUGGGGUUCGUGGGCAGAGUGGUGAGCGACGGAGAACUGGGGUUCGUGGGCAGAGUGGUGAGCGACGGAGAACUGGGGUUCGUGGGCAGAGUGGUGAGUGACGGAGAACUGGGGUUCGUGAGCAGAGUGGUGAGCGACGCAGAGCUGGGGUUCAUGGGCAGAGUGGUGAGCGACGGAGAACUGGGGUUCGUGGGCAGAGUGGUGAGCGACGCAGAGCUGGGGUUCGUGGGCAGAGUGGUGAGCGACGGAGAACUGGGGUUCGUGGGCAGAGUGGUGAGCGACGCAGAGCUGGGGUUCAUGGGCAGAGUGGUGAGCGACGGAGAACUGGGGUUCGUGGGCAGAGUGGUGAGCGACGGAGAACUGGGGUUCGUGGGCAGAGUGGUUGGCUGCCCCACUGUCAGCCUGUUCUGAAAGUAGGAAUGACCCUCAGCUGAGCUGAGAUGUUGCUGGUGGAGACUCUAAGACUGUGGAUUCUGACUCCCUGGGCUCAGGAAGGACGGUGCUGGGAACAAGGUGCAGACAAGGCACGACGAAGCUGGAGUGCCUCAUACCACCCCCAUGAAAGCGACGAAGGACUCCCAGAACCAUUCCUGGGGGCCCGUGGGAACGAGGACUUUGGGGGCACAAGGACGAGCUGAAGAAGUCUUCCUGAUUGUGGUUGUCAGAGGGAGGACAUGGCAUCGUGGUGGGCCAGAGUAUCGGCCUCAACACCACCCACUUUUCAGGCUGCAGUCUCCACCGUGGCCGCUGUGUGCAUUGGAGGGCACUUGGCAGCAUCCCCAGCCUCCCCACUAGAAAACCAGAUGCCAGGAGCAUAUGCGCCCCUCCUCAAGGUGCAACCACCAGAAACGACGCCAGACAUUGCCAAAUGUCCCUUGAGGGUGGGGACAAAUGCCCCUCAUCCCCCUUGAGGACUGCAGCUGGAACUCAAUGAAGAGCAGCGAAAGGGGCCACAAGCCAAGGCCUCUGCCGCAGCAUCUAACAGCUGGAAAAGGCAAAGAUACGGGAUCUCCUGGAGCCUCGAACAGGAGCCAGCUCUGCAGACACCUUGAUUGCAGCCCAGCAAGGCCCAUGUCAGGCCUCUGGCCUCCAUAACUUGAUAAUAAAGUUGUGUUUUAGUUCUUUGUUACAGGAGCAAUAUGGAGAGGGACUAAUGAACUGCCAUUGUAUUAAACCACUGGCAAUCAGAGUUGUUUGAUAAAGCAGUCAAGUCAACCUAAGUAAAACACUUAAGGACCAAGAAAUAAAGUCCUCACUUGAGGAUAGUGAGAUCUGAGAGCAGUAAAGCCACUUCCUUCUCGUGAGACCGACCCCUCUUGCAGACCUGCCUCUGGCCUGGCCCCAUGGAGUGGCAGGCCCCGGUCCUCCGCUCUUCGGGUCACAGGUGGCCCAGCAGGCUCUGCGCACAGCAUUUCGGCAGCACAGCAAUGCCUAACUUAAUACUCACUCCGGGAACAAGCCAGCUGCAAGCUGUCAACGCUAAGUCCCCCUAAUGCUUUAAUUGGUACUUACUCUAGUAAGUUCAUUUAAAAGUCCCCACCUCUGCCAGAUGCACAGUGAAGCUGACCCGACAAGAGGGCCUGACGGUGGCAGAGCAAUGUGAUAAUUAAUGCGUCCUGCUUUCCUCUGCUUGAAUUAAUGUUUUCAUGUCACUUAGACAUCACUCCUGGAAACCUUUCUGGUUUUCAGUAAUCAGCAGUUCUCCAUCCCAGAACCCAGUAGAUGAUCAAUAAGUGGUUGCCGAGUGAACGAAUGGCUGAGUCAGAGAUCUCGAAGGGUCAGAUUUCACUUGGUUCAAACCCCAACCAGUCUCUGAGAAACUGAGCCAGGGAGGCCUCAGGAGGCCUCGAGACGCCAGGGUACGAGCUAACUGUGGCUGGGAAGGUUGUGUAAAGAGGAAUACAAAGCAGCCUGGGCAUCCCAAAUGCUGCCACAGACGUGUCAGAGUGGCUAGGAGCCAUGGCCUGCACCCAGGCAGGGGCCACUCCCCAGCUGUGGGAGCAGAAGGGGCCCAGCACAGCCGGCCGCGGAGCCCGCAGGAGCCCCGGUACUCGGGAGGAGCCGGACGCCGACUCCAGCAGCGCAGACGCCGCCGGGGAGGCCCGUUGAGGAGCGCGCAGCUGAGUCCCGGUAGAGGAGGCGCCGGCCUGGAGAGGCUGGGGGCGGAUCCGCUGGACCAGGCGGGGUAGCGAAGGGUGGAGUUGCACAGAGCGGCCUCGAGUCCGGACUGGGGAAGGCUCAGACAGGGGGUGGAACAAAGGCCAGAAAGGAGGCGGGGGUCAGACCGGGGCUGGAUCAUGAAGGCGGCAGAGAGCUCGGAGGGAGCCCAACAAGGCCGUGCUGCGGCCCGGUUUUCCUUCCGGUGCUGAGGAUGGCGGCGGCCUGGUUUUCCUUCCGGUGCUGAGGAUGGCGGCGGCCUGGUUUUCCUUCCGGUGCUGAGGAUGGCGGCAGCCGCGGGACGGUGCUGAGGAUGGCGGCGGCCAUGGAAGGUGCUCCCUGCUUCUGCGCGGAUCCAGGCCUUCGGGAUCUCGCCCUCUGCAGUGCGGAGAACUCACUGGACGGAGACGAGAGAGGCGGCGGCGGCUGCACAGCUGGUGCGUGGGGACUGGGGGGCGGGUGAGCGCUGUCCUUGGCUGGGGAGGAAGCGCAGCCCCCGGAAGCCCGCCUGGGGCUGCAGGGAGAAAGGAGGGCGCCCCAGAGCCAAGGCUGCCCGCUGGUCCCUGCGACCGGGGCCCGGAGAAAGUGCGGGAAGGAGAGAGAAGGCUGGUGGCCGCCUGCCUCCAGGGCGGGCCUCCGAGCAGUGCCCUGUCCCAGCCACAGCCUUGCUUCUUUUGAUCCUCAUCACGACCGCUCUCCGGGCCAGGCCGUGGGUGAGGCCCCCAGGCCUUCAGGGGAGAAGCCGGGGUCUCCAGAGAGAGGUAACAGAGUGAGAACGGCCGUGGGUAGCGCGCCCCUCGGCCCCGCAGCUCUCCACAGGCCUCUGGCGAGCUCAGCUGACCUGCCCCAUCAGUGAGGUCUCUGCUCAGCUACCACCUGCUCUGAGAAGCCUUCUCUGCCAGGGUGACUCAUUACCCUGAUUUGCCAGGACUGAGUGGGUUCCUGGAGCGGCCUGGGAGCCGGCGGCGGUGGUGGCUUUCCUGAGCCCUGUUUGUCUAAUGUAGGCCCGGUUCGCACUGUUCAUUCACUCUGCUCCUCAGUUACUUUACGGCAAUUAACACCAAUCUGUUCUCAAAACGUGAGGUCCUCUUGCUCAGGGCUGUGUUCCUAGCACGCGGCCCUUGCCUGACACACGGCUGACAUUCAGCGCACAUUUAAACGAGUAGAUCAACUGCUCCAUCUUCCCCCAGAAGCUCUGUCUGUCCCUCCACAACUUGGCUCAUGCCAUCUCUUCCAUAAGCGCCGUGUGCUCUUCUCUCUCAGAAAAAAACUAUUUGUUUCUUGACAGCUCAGCUCAAAUAUCAGCUUCUCUCGACCCCAGGCACGAGCGUGGGUCCCGAAACCCUGGUGCCCUCCACAGUGUGUGUUCAGUAAAUGACUCUACGUUUAUCCCUGUAGCUGCCAGUGUUAUCAACUUUGGCCUAUGUUUUCUGAAUUAUUUUUGAAUCUUUAUUUUGUAAUCCAAUCUAUUAGUGACCCAUAACAGGCCGUGUCAUCCACAAUUAAAUAAAUGUGCACUCUCU